GGGAUUGUAGCUCAGUGGUAGAGCACUUGCCUAGUAUGUGUGAGGCACUGGGUUCGACCCUCAGUACCA
RNAcentral lists this transfer RNA (69 nucleotides) under Ictidomys tridecemlineatus (thirteen-lined ground squirrel). RNAcentral's name for it is "Spermophilus tridecemlineatus (thirteen-lined ground squirrel) tRNA". It matches the Rfam family "tRNA". From Rfam's summary of the family: Transfer RNA (tRNA) molecules are approximately 80 nucleotides in length. Their secondary structure includes four short double-helical elements and three loops (D, anti-codon, and T loops). The record is from Rfam by way of RNAcentral. Lineage: Eukaryota; Metazoa; Chordata; Mammalia; Rodentia; Sciuridae.